RNAcentral lists this ribosomal RNA (253 nucleotides) under uncultured bacterium. RNAcentral's name for it is "partial 16S ribosomal RNA". It matches the Rfam family "Bacterial small subunit ribosomal RNA", at positions 524 to 776 of the family's 1533-position model. The record is from RNAcentral.
UACAGAGGGUGCAAGCAUUAAUCGGAAUUACUGGGCGUAAAGCGCACGCAGGCGGCUUGUUAAGUCGGAUGUGAAAGCCCCGGGCUCAACCUGGGAAUUGCAUUCGAUACUGGCAAGCUAGAGUAUGUGAGAGGGGGGUAAAAUUCCAAGUGUAGCGGUGAGAUGCGUAGAGAUUUGGAGGAAUACCAGUGGCGAAGGCGGCCCCCUGGCACACUACUGACGCUCAGGUGCGAAAGCGUGGGGAGCAAACAGG